Molecule: long non-coding RNA, 3616 nt
Organism: Megalobrama amblycephala (Wuchang bream)
Lineage: Eukaryota; Metazoa; Chordata; Actinopteri; Cypriniformes; Xenocyprididae
Exons: 4
Source: RefSeq, a predicted model, not a curated record
GUGUGCCGAUUUUCAUUUAUUUUUGAAGUGCUUUAUUUGAUAGAGCACCUGCCUAAAUUUUUCUGGAUGUGCACACAUUUUCGUUAUUCCAUGUUUUCUAUCAAACAAUACAAACCUUUUGACUCUCCUUGCUACUUUGGACUUUUUUUUUAUAUGUCACUCAGAAAAAACAACACUUAAAAUGGCUUAAGGGGUUAAAUUUUAUUCCUUACUGUUUCAGGUGCGUUGCGAAGCACUCCACAAGGUAAAGAGGCUUCCAAGGCAGAGUUUUCAGAGGCAGUGAAAAAAUGGUUGCGUUAUGCUCUAGACCGAGAGGGUGGCAGUGGCAGAAGAUCAUCUGUUUAAUCUGUUUAAUCUUUAAUCUGUUCUUUCAAAACCUUUCAAUUUUGUGCGUCAAUCUUUGACUGUUUUGUUUGGCUAAAUUAAUUACAGUUGUUCUUUAAAAAAAAUGUUAUAUCCCAGUAUAGGGAAUUACUUUUAUCUAUAUUUUUAUCUAAUCUCUGUAAUAACUAAUCUGUACAUGCAUACAUUUCUCUUAAUUAUUCAUAAAAUACUGAUAAAUUGUAUAUAAUUUGAGUUGAUAAAUUAAGUUUAGUAUAGUAUAUGUUUAUUUAAAUUAUAUUCAAAAAUUGUGUGUAAUAUUACAGUAUAUAUGAUAUGUACAAAAUUACUUCAAUUGUCCUUGAAGUAAAAUUUCAGCUAGCUUUUAAGUGUAUUGGCAUCUUAUUGGUGAAUGAGGUGGAUAAACACUUUUUACUGAAAGAUUUUAGGUUUAAACAUUUUAAAAUCAUUACCCCAGGUUGUUUCAGUGUGAAAAAGCCUAUAGGGUAAAUAAUCAGCUAAACGAGGUAGGCUACAAAUAUAUUGUUACAUUGCUUGUAGUUAUAAUAAUUAAUUGAACUACAAUGAUAACAGGAUAUUGUGGUUAUCAAUAUAUUUUAUUUCUCUAUAGGUCUAUGCCAAUGAUGCCAACACCAUACAGCACAGUCAUUCAUUCCACUUAAAGAGUGGAACAUCAACAUAUUGUACCAUUGUAUUUAUCCAAAUAAGGGUCUCUGGGAUCCCCAGUUGAAGGCAUCAGGACAUCAGAUGUUGGCCUGGACAGAUGUACCAACAGUACACCACACUGACCUCUCUGCUUUUGCAUGGAUGGCUGACUACUACCAUGUUCUGUUAGGGUAUUACUAUAGCAAAACAGAACACCUGUGACAGUGGGAUUUGUAGUUUUAAAGAACAGUCACACAUCAGUAAAUUUAAAGUUGUAGAGAAACUUUAACUCAUUUAGAAACUUUUUUUUUAGAAGUUUAAAUUUUUUUUUUCUCACUCUCUCUCUCACCUUUUCAAAUUAUCUUCUGGAGGUGCACAAAUCCUAUUCUACAAAUCAUAAAUUAAGAAAUUCAUAUGCUCACUUUUUUUAUUACGAACUUCCAUGGUGAUGAUGAGUUUUACCUGUCCAUGAUUUAGAAAUACCGCAGCUAACUGAAAUCGACAUGAUUAUUAAACAAGUAAAUGCUAGUUAGAACUUAAUAUUUUUUUAUGUUACCACAAGGGUAAGCUAAACAGUGUAGAUGAUUCACAAAAUCAUACACACAAGAAAUGUGCAUGAUUGGCCAAAAUGUUUGUAAUGUUUGAGAUUGAGAUGGUAGAUCCAAGUGCAAACUUUAUUAAAAGAGUGUAGUCACACAAGCAGGAGGUCAAACACCAGUCCAAAAAGAGGCAAAUAUUAGGGCAUGCAAUAAACGAUCACAAUCCAGGAAACAGUCCAAAGUCAAAAAUACAGACAGGGCAAGAAACACAGAGACAAGGUAUAGAAAACAAGGCGCAAUGCAGGGCUAAACAAUACUCAGCAAUGUGUGUGUGUUUGAGUGCAGCUUAUAAAGUCUCAAUGAUGGAAAACAGGUGUGAUUGUGUGAUUGGUUCCUAUGGGGAAUUGUGGGAAAUGUAGUCCAGAGUGAUGUCUGACUGUGUGUGAAAUGACUGUGUGUGCUUUACAAAAAUUUGAGCCUAUGAGUUUAUAUUUGUAUACAGUGUUGGGAGUAACGCAUUACAAAAGUAAUUAUACUAGUAAUAUAUUAUUUAUUGCUUUUUUGCAGUAAUAUAACGCAUUAUUGAUAAAAUUUGGGUAAUUUUACAAUCUCAGUAAUGCACGUUACAACAACGCAUUUUAACCCGAAAUUAAGUGGUUUUCGUUUUAUUUUUUACCAACACCGCAAGACAUUCCAGCACCAGAUAAAAAAAAAAUAUAUGAAUAAAAUAGUCUGUCUAAUUUCCUGCUGCUGGAAUUCGAUGGUUGAGAUGACUGCAGAGAUGGAUUCUACAUUUGUGAGAUGGACAUAGCUACUCCCAUUAUUUUCAGAGAAAAUAACAUAAUAGUCAAGCGCAAUAUUGCAAACUAUGUGCGGCACUAAGGAAACCUUCUAGAAAGCACUUGAAAAGACACAUGGACCGGUGCCACGCUGAGCUUCAGUGUCGGAGAAGAGAAAGAAUGCACCAGACGAGAGCGCGGGCAAGACAUAUGUAGAAAUAUCAGUGAGCUGCGAGUGCACAGCCUACACGUUUUGUUGCUCAUCAAUAUCGGACUUGCGCAUGUCUAAUGUACGACUCCCGUAUGUCACUGUAAUCGUCUUUACCUCUUUACGUUAUCCAUCAAAACAUUUUUUUUUUGUAUUAAUAAUUCAAUUAAUUAAUUAAUUAAUUAAUUAUAUUAAUACAUUUAAAUUAAUUUAAGUUACCUCAAAGCCCCCCUUGAGGAUCACUGGCCUACACAUGCUAUAGAAUUCGUACGAUUUUAUACGGUUUUUGCUAAAUCGUACAUAUUUUACAAAUUCGUAUGAAUUCAUACGAAUGACCUACCCCAAACCCCGCCCCUAAACCUACCCGUCACUAGGGUUUCAACGAAAUCGUUCGAAUUCGUAGGAGUGAGGUCCUAUGAAUUAGCCACCUUGUAAAAUAUGUACGAAUUGGUCGUGAGAUAGCGUUGGCUAUACCACAUUGCCCUUACUGGAUGUAUAAUGAGCAGCAAUAAACUACAUUUUAGCAUUUUAUGCCGUCAAACUUCUGUGGUUAUUUUAGUAAAAGUAACUAAAAAGUAACGCAAAAGUAACAUAACACAUUACAAUUUAGAGACAGUAAUGUUGUAAUGUAACUAAUUACUUUCAAAUGACAGUAACUAGUAAUAUGUUAUGUAUUACAUUUUGGAAGUAACUUGCCAAACUUUGUUUGUAAAUAAACUGUAGGAUUUGUGCACCUGCAAUGAAGAAUUUGAAAAGGUGUAACUGCUGUUUUGUUCUUGUGUGUGUGUGUGUGUAAGAGAGAGAGAGAGAGAGAGAGAGAGAGAGAGAAACAUGUUUGCAACUCCUAAAACAUUUUCUCAAUGACUUAACUGAAAUACUACAUUACAACUUCCACUGUCACAGAUGCUCAGUUUUGCUACAAUAAUAAUACAAUGCAUGCAUAAUUUGAGUCCAUAUUUUGAUCUUUUUUUUCCAAGCACAUUUUACCAGUGACAAACCACAUAACUAAUUUUGUAUAUAAUCCACAGUAUCGGUCAAAAGUUUUGAAACAUUACUAUUUUUAAUAUUUUUAAAAGAAGACUCUUGUCAAGACUGCAUUUAUU